GACGAACGCUGGCGGCGUGCCUAAUACAUGCAAGUCGAGCGCAGGAAACUGACGGAACUCUUCGGAGGGAAGGCAGUGGAAUGAGCGGCGGACGGGUGAGUAACACGUAAGGAACCUGCCUCAAGGAUUGGGAUAACUCCGAGAAAUCGGAGCUAAUACCGGAUAGUUCAUCGGACCGCAUGGUCCGUUGAUGAAAGGCGCUUCGGCGUCACCUUGAGAUGGCCUUGCGGUGCAUUAGCUAGUUGGUGGGGUAACGGCCCACCAAGGCGACGAUGCAUAGCCGACCUGAGAGGGUGAUCGGCCACACUGGGACUGAGACACGGCCCAGACUCCUACGGGAGGCAGCAGUAGGGAAUCUUCCACAAUGGACGAAAGUCUGAUGGAGCAACGCCGCGUGAGUGAUGAAGGUUUUCGGAUCGUAAAACUCUGUUGUAAGGGAAGAACACGUACGAGAGGAAAUGCUCGUACCUUGACGGUACCUUACGAGAAAGCCACGGCUAACUACGUGCCAGCCGCCGCAGUAA
RNAcentral lists this ribosomal RNA (524 nucleotides) under uncultured bacterium. Its description in RNAcentral is "partial 16S ribosomal RNA". It matches the Rfam family "Bacterial small subunit ribosomal RNA", at positions 28 to 523 of the family's 1533-position model. The record is from RNAcentral.